CUCUUCACCAUCUUAAAAGCGUUUGAGGGCUUCUAACUCCUUUACGAUUAUAUUGUUUUAAAUCUGCUUUUUGAGAAGCUAUUUUCUGUUUUCUUCUAUCUCGUGUAUUUACUUGAUUCAAUCGGGAGAUUGAAUCAAGGGGAUUAAGGUUGGUUGGUGAGCCGGUUUAAAACCAACGAGUGUAAGGGUUUGAUUGUGAGCCCGGGAAAACAAUCGGGGUUGGUUCUAGUCGGUGAGCCUGGGAAAACCGACCGAGUUCGUUGUGAGCUCGUAAAACAACAAGUUCGGUUGUGAAAUUGCAAAACAACCGGCUGUAAUCCAAGGGGGUUAUAGUGAAAUUCCCAAGUGAGACUUGGGGAGUGGACGUAGGAGCAAGGGUUAGCUCUGAACCACUAUAAAACUUUGUGUUUGUAGUGCAUUGUCUCACAUCUUCUUCCCCACACAUUACUCACAGCACUUAGCUUUAAUUAAAUAACUGGCUAUAGUAUUUAGUUAAUCAUCCACAAAGUUUUAAUUAGCUAAGUUAAUUUAAAAACCCAAUU
Molecule: long non-coding RNA, 542 nt
Filed under: Phoenix dactylifera (date palm)
Lineage: Eukaryota; Viridiplantae; Streptophyta; Magnoliopsida; Arecales; Arecaceae
Description: long non-coding RNA (PDAC_LNC022120)
Source: RNAcentral